Molecule: long non-coding RNA, 3016 nt
Organism: Balaenoptera musculus (blue whale)
Lineage: Eukaryota; Metazoa; Chordata; Mammalia; Artiodactyla; Balaenopteridae
Exons: 2
Source: RefSeq, a predicted model, not a curated record
GAGAUGAGUGGACAGAUGUAGGAAGAAAAAGAUGCAUGUGUUAAUACUUCCACCCAUCGUGACUAACUGAUUCCUGCCAACACAUGAAUCUUCAGGCACUUUUCUAGUAGAUAUUUGAUAUCUGUGGGCAGCCACUAGUAGAAGAAGAAGGGAAAAGGGCGGGAGGAGACAAAGCACAGGGCUUUAAUGAAUAGGCUUUCAUUUGGGCAAAAUUGAGCAGCUGGGCCUCCACAGCCUCUACUACGAAAACUGUUCCAGUAAUACUGACUGUGUGUGUCUGUAAAUCUCUUAUAUGUUAUUUGUAUCCAGAAAUAUGGAGAGUAUCUCUUUAAUGUGCUUCAUAAACAAUGGAAGAUAUUUAGAAUACAGUACAUGAAAAGUUAUUAAUUUCUGUAUGUUUGCCAUUGUUGGAAGCCGGAGUGACUGUAAUGCCAGCAUUGGCUCCUGUUCACGAGACAUUUAAGGGAUGUUGUGUUUCAUCGGGUUGGAGGACAGGCCCUUCUUCCUUACUUCAGAACUUGGCUCUCACGUGGAGUGAGUGCCCUUUUAGGUCCCGGGGCGCAGGGGCCGUUUCUGGGUCCCUCAUGGCCGUAUUCCAAGAGCCAAGGACAGAGGCCGGCCUACGGAAGGUGUGCGGUAAAUAUUUGUGGAAUGAGCAGAUACUCUGGAAUCCUCUCUCUGUUCCCACCUGUCGUGGAAAUCCAAGUCCCCUCUAGGGGCAGGGCCACUGCAGGCUUGCCCUCUCCAGAGUCCUAGCUCACGGUGAGCCCUUUGAAUGGUAGCUGUCUAAACCACAUACUUUGGCAUUUAAUCUUUUAUGGCUUUAUAUUGUUGCAUGAGCGUUUCCUGUGUUUUGUUUCUCCACCCAAAAUACAGGCUACUCGAGGGCAGGGAAUACAUGUUUACACAGGUCUGUGUUUGAGAACUUCCUUGUUCAUCCAGUGUAAUAAUUUGUACCGAGUAUGUUUAUUUUUACCUAUUGAGUGAAUAUUAGGUGCCAUGGGGGGAACAUCAGAAAUAUUCAAAAUGUGGUCCCAGUCCUCGCGUAGGUAGUAUUUCAGUUGGGCAAACGUUGUGUACACACGUGGAACAAUACGAGAAUUUGGAGUUACAUAAAGCAAAUAAUGAUAGCUAACAUUGAUGUAGUGCUUAAAAUGUGCUUUUACAUGUAAAUGUAUUCGACUCUCACAACAGUACUUUGACGUAGGUACAGUUAUAAUCCCAUUUUUCACAUGAGGAAACUGAGGCACAGGGAGGUAAUUAAGUCACCUGCCCGAGACCACAAUGUGAGUAGUAAGCAGGGAGGUGGGAUAUGAACCCAGGCAGCCUGGCUCUUGAGUCAGUGUGGGUUCUCUGGGGAGUUUUACUUUAUCAAAGACAGAAAAGAGAGCUAAAAGUUGACCCUAGUUUCUCAGCUGUAAAGGAAGCUCUUUAAAAAUUUCAAGGUAGCAUACAUGAUGGCAGUGACUCUGAGCUGCAGAAACAAUGCUGGAUUUUCCAGGCAGAAGAGGUUGAUAAUGAAAUGGUUGAGGGGACUGUAUUUUGAAAUGACUGAAGGCAAGAGGAGAAAAACCAAAUUUUGAACCUCAAAGCUGAGGGGGACUAGGACCCUUGGUAGUUGUUGAAUUCUAGGGCAGUGAUUCACCAGGACAAAGGGCAGUGACUGCUUAAGAUACUAAUUCAGUGUCAAAUAACUCAUGUGAAAGAGCUCUUCUUUUUUCAACACUUUUAAACCCCUAGUGAAUGCAAUUUACCAGGAUGGGAGCAAUACUGAAGGCUUCUGGUGCCCAUCUGUCCUUUUGCCUUGUCCUUUUGUGAAAUCUUGACCCACUUUUUCAGCUUGUCUUGGACAGUAGAGCACACUCUUGGGGCCCAGAGGCCUCUUCCAACCAAGUAAUAUUUCUUUGGUGGAAAAAAACUUAACGGCACUGUUGGUUUGGUGACAAACCUGGAGUGAGGUCACUUUGAAGCCAUGUGGACUUCGAUGAGGGCCUGCAAACAAAAUCCAGCAAGAUGAAGGAAUGUAGUAUACUCUGAAAGCCCAGUUUUGUGUCCCUUUAGUCGGGAGCUGACAAUAUUAUUUUGGGGGUGUUGGGCACCAACAGAGCCCAUUGAAUCCACAUGACUCGGCCGAUAGGGGAGCACACACGUCACCAUACCCGCUGUCCAGGAAUCAGAGGAGGAGGUGCCCUGGGGUGAAGCCUGGGCCACAGCCCCGGUUAGCAGCUCUGCAGGCAUCUUACCUUGGAAACAGCACAGCUUGGCUUCUGUGUCAUCGCUGAGUUCAGAGAAUCCUAGUUUCACCAUGUCCUCAGUAGAAACCAGAGAACCAGGUUUGUUCCUUCAAGAAGUGUCCCAGUGCCUUGGAAUUCAGCAGCUGUUUCCAGAAGUAAAUAAUCACGUCAGAUGCCUGUGAAUGGACUGUAUGGCCGAGUGACCUGUUGUGAUAUUCAUGGAAGAAUGGUUUAAAAAAAGACACAAAACUGAAGAAAAGGCAAAUUUCAAGAAUCGGCCCAAUGCCAUUUAGGAUUUUUGAGCAGCUGAAAGAAGAUAGUUCUGCAAAUACGAGCAACAAGACUCUAGCAUAUUUCUUUACAUGUUUCUUACAUUGUCUUUGUUAACCCAUUGCUUUUGUGUAUAAUAUUUGAGUUAUUUUUCCCCUGCUGCUAAAGCUGGUAAUCUGCUUACGAUCAGAGUUUCAAUCUGUGUGGAUAGAGAAAUAGUAGAUACAAUAGGAGAAAUGGGAGCUUAUAAUAGGAUGUUGGCCUUCAGAAAUUGACUUUCACUGAAGAAUUCCUCAAGGCGCGGAAUGUUGAGAAACUGCUUCUUCUCAGUGAUUGUUCAAAGCUUUGCGGCUUUAGGUUCAUCUUCCUUUAUCUUCCUCUCAGCCUCUGUGUGUGCCUGCUUUUUUUCUUGCACAGAGUUUUGGACCGAAAAUCUGAUGACUAUAUUUUUUCAGCUUAAAAAUAAAGAGUUAUAUGAAUUACAGCUUCAUAAAUAGACCUUUGGUACGGUA